GAUGAACGCUGGCGGCGUGCUUAACACAUGCAAGUCGAACGAAGCACUUUAUUUGAUUUCCUUCGGGACUGAUUAUUUUGUGACUGAGUGGCGGACGGGUGAGUAACGCGUGGGUAACCUGCCUUGUACAGGGGGAUAACAGUUGGAAACGGCUGCUAAUACCGCAUAAGCGCACAGCAUCGCAUGAUGCAGUGUGAAAAACUCCGGUGGUAUAAGAUGGACCCGCGUUGGAUUAGCUAGUUGGUGAGGUAACGGCCCACCAAGGCGACGAUCCAUAGCCGAGCAGAGAGGGAGACCCGCCACACUGGGACUGAGACACGGCCCAAACUCCUACGGGAGGCAGCAGUGGGGAAUAGUGCACAAUGGGCGAAAGCCUGAUGCAGCGACGCCGCGUGAGCGAAGAAGUAUUUCGGUAUGUAAAGCUCUAUCAGCAGGGAAGAUAAUGACGGUACCUGACUAAGAAGCACCGGCUAAAUACGUG
Molecule: ribosomal RNA, 481 nt
Filed under: uncultured bacterium
Lineage: Bacteria
Description: partial 16S ribosomal RNA
Rfam family: Bacterial small subunit ribosomal RNA
Source: RNAcentral